This 454-nucleotide ribosomal RNA is filed under the name uncultured bacterium. Its description in RNAcentral is "partial 16S ribosomal RNA". It matches the Rfam family "Bacterial small subunit ribosomal RNA", at positions 28 to 507 of the family's 1533-position model. The record is from RNAcentral.
GAUGAACGCUGACAGAAUGCUUAACACAUGCAAGUCUACUUGAACUUCGGUUUGGGUGGCGGACGGGUGAGUAACGCGUAAAGAACUUGCCUCACAGUUAGGGACAACAUUUGGAAACGAAUGCUAAUACCUGAUAUUAUGAUUUUAGGGCAUCCUAAGAUUAUGAAAGCUAUAUGCACUGUGAGAGAGCUUUGCGUCCCAUUAGCUAGUUGGAGAGGUAACGGCUCAGCAAGGCGAUGAUGGGUAGCCGGCCUGGGAGGGUGAACGGCCACAAGGGGACUGAGAAACGGCCAUUACGCCUACGGGAGGAAGCAGUGGGGAAUAUUGGACAAUGGACCAAAAGUCUGAUCCAGCAAUUCUGUGUGCACGAUGACGUUUUUCGGAAUGUAAAGUGCUUUCAGUUGGGAAGAAAAAAAUGACGGUACCAACAGAAGAAGUGACGGCUAAAUACGUG